AAUGAACGCUGGCGGCGCGCCUAAUACAUGCAAGUCGAGCGAGAAGACGUAGCAAUACGUUUGUAAAGCGGCGAACGGGUGAGGAAUACAUGGGUAACCUACCCUAGAGUGGGGAAUAACUAGCCGAAAGGUUAGCUAAUACCACGUACGCUCCUUGGACUUCGGUUCAGGGAGGAAAGCGAUGCCGAGGGUAUCGCGCUCUUGGAUGGGCUCAUGUCCUAUCAGCUUGNGGUGAGGUAACGGCUCACCAAGGCUUCGACGGGUAGCUGGUCUGAGAGGACGAUCAGCCACACUGGCACUGCGACACGGGCCAGACUCCUACGGGAGGCAGCAGUAAGGAAUAUUGCGCAAUGGGCGAAAGCCUGACGCAGCGACGCCGCGUGGGGGAU
This 389-nucleotide ribosomal RNA is filed under the name uncultured bacterium. RNAcentral describes it as "bacterial SSU rRNA". It matches the Rfam family "Bacterial small subunit ribosomal RNA", at positions 29 to 409 of the family's 1533-position model. The record is from RNAcentral.